RNAcentral lists this unclassified non-coding RNA (328 nucleotides) under soil metagenome. RNAcentral describes it as "partial contains 5.8S ribosomal RNA, internal transcribed spacer 2, and large subunit ribosomal RNA". The stretch from base 1 to 120 matches the Rfam family "5.8S ribosomal RNA", at positions 35 to 154 of the family's 154-position model. The record is from RNAcentral.
GAUGAAGAACGUAGCGAAAUGCGAUAAGCAAUGUGAAUUGCAGAAUUCAGUGAAUCAUCGAAUCUUUGAACGCACAUUGCGCCCCCUGGUAUUCCGGGGGGCAUGCCUGUCCGAGCGUCAUUACAACCCUCAAGCUCAGCUUGGUAUUGGGCCCCGCCGACCCGGCGGGCCCUAAAGUCAGUGGCGGUGCCGUCCGGCUCCGAGCGUAGUAAUUCUUCUCGCUCUGGAGGUCCGGUCGUGUGCUCGCCAGCAACCCCCAAUUUUUUCAGGUUGACCUCGGAUCAGGUAGGGAUACCCGCUGAACUUAAGCAUAUCAAUAAGCGGAGGA